UCCUACGGGAGGCAGCAGUAGGGAAUCUUCGGCAAUGGACGAAAGUCUGACCGAGCAACGCCGCGUGAGUGARGAAGGUUUUCGGAUCGUAAAACUCUGUUGUUAGAGAAGAACAAGGACGUUAGUAACUGAACGUCCCCUGACGGUAUCUAACCAGAAAGCCACGGCUAACUACGUGCCAGCAGCCGCGGUAAUACGUAGGUGGCAAGCGUUGUCCGGAUUUAUUGGGCGUAAAGCGAGCGCAGGCGGUUUYUUAAGUCUGAUGUGAAAGCCCCCGGCUCAACCGGGGAGGGUCAUUGGAAACUGGGAGACUUGAGUGCAGAAGAGGAGAGUGGAAUUCCAUGUGUAGCGGUGAAAUGCRWA
Molecule: ribosomal RNA, 363 nt
Filed under: Enterococcus faecalis
Lineage: Bacteria; Bacillati; Bacillota; Bacilli; Lactobacillales; Enterococcaceae
Description: bacterial SSU rRNA
Rfam family: Bacterial small subunit ribosomal RNA
Source: RNAcentral